This 547-nucleotide ribosomal RNA is filed under the name Phaeosphaeriopsis glaucopunctata. RNAcentral describes it as "eukaryotic LSU rRNA". The stretch from base 178 to 331 matches the Rfam family "5.8S ribosomal RNA". The record is from RNAcentral. Lineage: Eukaryota; Fungi; Ascomycota; Dothideomycetes; Pleosporales; Phaeosphaeriaceae.
CUACUGCUUUUUGGGGGAGUGGAAAGUCCCGGUUUCGUCGCCGGAUCACGAGUAAACUCCCUUUCUCCACCCUUGUCUUUUGAGUACUUAUGUUUCCUUGGUGGGCUUGCCUGCCAAUAGGACAACCAAACAACCUUUUUAAUUUUUAUUCAGCGUCUAAAUAAUUUUAAUAAUUACAACUUUCAACAACGGAUCUCUUGGUUCUGGCAUCGAUGAAGAACGCAGCGAAAUGCGAUAAGUAGUGUGAAUUGCAGAAUUCAGUGAAUCAUCGAAUCUUUGAACGCACAUUGCGCCCCUUGGUAUUCCAUGGGGCAUGCCUGUUCGAGCGUCAUUUGUACCUUCAAGCUAUGCUUGGUUGUUGGGUGUUUGUCCUCUCAUUACGUUUGGACUCGCCUUAAAACAAUUGGCAGCCAUUAUAUUGGUAUUGGAGCGCAGCACAAAUUGCAGUUCCAGCUAAACAAUAGUGGCAUCCAUUAAGUACUUUUAACACUUUUGACCUCGGAUCAGGUAGGGAUACCCGCUGAACUUAAGCAUAUCAAUAAGCGGA